GACUUCGUAGUGAAAUUCAUGUUGAGUUGCAAGCUCAUUGAUGUACGUCAAGCGUGCCGAAGUCU
Molecule: transfer RNA, 65 nt
Filed under: Chauna torquata (southern screamer)
Lineage: Eukaryota; Metazoa; Chordata; Aves; Anseriformes; Anhimidae
Description: tRNA-Cys
Source: RNAcentral